GAUGGUGAAAUUUUGUUGAUAAGGUGAAAUUUUUAAUUAGAAGGAAAUUCUUAAGAAAUCUGUUGGAAUUAAAAAAUUUAGGUAAAAAACCAGGAUUAGAUACCCUGUUAUUCUAAAUUAUAAUGUAGAUAGGGUAGUAAAAGUUGUUCUUCAAACCCAAAGAUUUUGGCGGCAUCUUAUCCUAAUAGAGGAGCUUGUUCUAUAAUUGAUAGUCCUCAUUUUAUCUUACCCUCUUUUGUUAAGCUUGUAUACCGCCGUUGUCAGAUUACUUUAGAAGAAUGUUUUCAAGAAAAAUAUUUUUUUCACUUCAGGUCAAGGUGCAGUUUAUAAGAGGGCAGCAAUGAGCUACAAUUUUUAAUAGAAAUACGAAUUUUAGGUUUGAAAUCCGGGUAAAGGUGGAUUUAUUAGUAAAUUUACUUAAGUACAGUAAGUUGAAUUGGGCAAUGGGAUGUGUACAUAUCGCCCGUCACUCUCUUCUCAAGAGGAGAUAA
RNAcentral lists this ribosomal RNA (491 nucleotides) under Daphnia pulex (common water flea). RNAcentral's name for it is "partial 12S ribosomal RNA". The stretch from base 132 to 491 matches the Rfam family "Microsporidia small subunit ribosomal RNA", at positions 752 to 1267 of the family's 1311-position model. The record is from RNAcentral. Lineage: Eukaryota; Metazoa; Arthropoda; Branchiopoda; Diplostraca; Daphniidae.